GACGAACGCUGGCGGCGUGCUUAACACAUGCAAGUCGAACGGAAAGGCCCUGCUUUUGUGGGGUGCUCGAGUGGCGAACGGGUGAGUAACACGUGAGUAACCUGCCCUUGACUUUGGGAUAACUUCAGGAAACUGGGGCUAAUACCGGAUAGGAGCUCCUGCUGCAUGGUGGGGGUUGGAAAGUUUCGGCGGUUGGGGAUGGACUCGCGGCUUAUCAGCUUGUUGGUGGGGUAGUGGCUUACCAAGGCUUUGACGGGUAGCCGGCCUGAGAGGGUGACCGGCCACAUUGGGACUGAGAUACGGCCCAGACGCCAACGGGAGGCAGCAGUGGGGAAUAUGGCACAAUGGGCGGAAGCCUGAUGCGGCAACGCCGCGUGCGGGAUGACGGCCUUCGGGUUGUAAACCGCGUUCGCCUGUGACGAAGCGUGAGUGACGGUAAUGGGUAAAGAAGCACCGGCUAACUACGUG
This 468-nucleotide ribosomal RNA is filed under the name uncultured bacterium. RNAcentral's name for it is "partial 16S ribosomal RNA". It matches the Rfam family "Bacterial small subunit ribosomal RNA", at positions 28 to 507 of the family's 1533-position model. The record is from RNAcentral.